This 585-nucleotide ribosomal RNA is filed under the name Bacillus tequilensis. Its description in RNAcentral is "bacterial SSU rRNA". It matches the Rfam family "Bacterial small subunit ribosomal RNA", at positions 173 to 747 of the family's 1533-position model. Lineage: Bacteria; Bacillati; Bacillota; Bacilli; Caryophanales; Bacillaceae. The record is from RNAcentral.
UUGUUUGAACCGCAUGGUUCAAACAUAAAAGGUGGCUUCGGCUACCACUUACAGAUGGACCCGCGGCGCAUUAGCUAGUUGGUGAGGUAAUGGCUCACCAAGGCAACGAUGCGUAGCCGACCUGAGAGGGUGAUCGGCCACACUGGGACUGAGACACGGCCCAGACUCCUACGGGAGGCAGCAGUAGGGAAUCUUCCGCAAUGGACGAAAGUCUGACGGAGCAACGCCGCGUGAGUGAUGAAGGUUUUCGGAUCGUAAAGCUCUGUUGUUAGGGAAGAACAAGUACCGUUCGAAUAGGGCGGUACCUUGACGGUACCUAACCAGAAAGCCACGGCUAACUACGUGCCAGCAGCCGCGGUAAUACGUAGGUGGCAAGCGUUGUCCGGAAUUAUUGGGCGUAAAGGGCUCGCAGGCGGUUUCUUAAGUCUGAUGUGAAAGCCCCCGGCUCAACCGGGGAGGGUCAUUGGAAACUGGGGAACUUGAGUGCAGAAGAGGAGAGUGGAAAUUCCACGUGUAGCGGUGAAAUGCGUAGAGAUGUGGAGGAACACCAGUGGCGAAGCGACUCUCUGGUCUGUAACUGACGCU